GAUGAACGCUGGCGGCGUGCCUAAUACAUGCAAGUCGAGCGAACAGAUGAGGAGCUUGCUCCUCUGACGUUAGCGGCGGACGGGUGAGUAACACGUGGAUAACCUACCUAUAAGACUGGGAUAACUUCGGGAAACCGGAGCUAAUACCGGAUAAUAUAUUGAACCGCAUGGUUCAAUAGUGAAAGACGGUUUUGCUGUCACUUAUAGAUGGAUCCGCGCCGCAUUAGCUAGUUGGUAAGGUGACGGCUUACCAAGGCAACGAUGCGUAGCCGACCUGAGAGGGUGAUCGGCCACACUGGAACUGAGACACGGUCCAGACUCCUACGGGAGGCAGCAGUAGGGAAUCUUCCGCAAAGGGCGAAAGCCUGACGGAGCAACGCCGCGUGAGUGAUGAAGGUCUUCGGAUCGUAAAACUCUGUUAUUAGGGAAGAACAAAUGUGUAAGUAACUAUGCACGUCUUGACGGUACCUAAUCAGAAAGCCACGGCUAACUACGUG
This 497-nucleotide ribosomal RNA is filed under the name uncultured bacterium. RNAcentral's name for it is "partial 16S ribosomal RNA". It matches the Rfam family "Bacterial small subunit ribosomal RNA", at positions 28 to 507 of the family's 1533-position model. The record is from RNAcentral.